Sander lucioperca (pikeperch) is the source of this 311-nucleotide long non-coding RNA. RefSeq lists it as uncharacterized. The transcript has 2 exons. Lineage: Eukaryota; Metazoa; Chordata; Actinopteri; Perciformes; Percidae. The record is from RefSeq and is a predicted model, not a curated record.
AGCUGAAACCAGGAUUUCAUGAGUUGUAAUUUAGUAUCAAAAUGUAUACAAUGGAGUUCCAUGAUUUUUUUUCCAUUUGUUUACAGAUGUGACAUAGACUAUGGUUACUUUUCAUCACCUUCCUAAAAUAAUGGCCUAAGUCAUUUUUUCAGUUUUUUCAGAAAACACAAAAAACUAAACGGCCUAAGUCACACGCUUGACAUAGGCAAUUAUACUAAAGGUGUGGAAUCACAAGACCUGUUCAACUGAGGAUGUAGGCAAUUUUACCAGAGGUGACCAGCACCAUGAGGAGAUGAUUUAGGCAAAAAAAA